AACGCACCUUGCACCCUUUGGUAUUCCGAAGGGUACACCCGUUUGAGUGUCAUUGUAAUCUCACUCCACCAGCUAUUUGUUGAUGGAUGUGGACCUGGACUCUGUUGUGUUACUACAACUGGUCUGAAAUGCAUGAGUGCACCCUGCUAUUGCAGCGUUUUCAGUGUGAUAAGCAUCUUCACUGGAUCAAGCUCCCUUGGGACACGCAGCAUUGUGGGCUCUGUGCUGGCAAACUGUCUUUGGACAACUUUGACAAUUUGACCUCAGAUCGGGUGGGACUACCCGCUGAACUUAA
Molecule: unclassified non-coding RNA, 295 nt
Filed under: uncultured fungus
Lineage: Eukaryota; Fungi
Description: sequence contains ITS2
Source: RNAcentral